RNAcentral lists this ribosomal RNA (468 nucleotides) under uncultured bacterium. Its description in RNAcentral is "partial 16S ribosomal RNA". It matches the Rfam family "Bacterial small subunit ribosomal RNA", at positions 28 to 506 of the family's 1533-position model. The record is from RNAcentral.
GAUGAACGCUGGCGGCGUGCUUAACACAUGCAAGUCGAACGGUGAAGGCGGAGCUUGCUCUGCUGGAUCAGUGGCGAACGGGUGAGUAACACGUGAGCAAUCUGCCCCUGACUCUGGGAUAAGCGCUGGAAACGGCGUCUAAUACUGGAUACGAGCUGCGAAGGCAUCUUCAGCAGCUGGAAAGAACUUCGGUCAGGGAUGAGCUCGCGGCCUAUCAGCUUGUUGGUGAGGUAACGGCUCACCAAGGCGUCGACGGGUAGCCGGCCUGAGAGGGUGACCGGGCCACAAGGGGCUGGAGACACGGCCCGGCCCCCCGCGGGGGGGAGCGGGGGGAAAUUUUGCAAAAGGGGGGAAACCCGGAGGCAGAAACCCCGGGGGGGGGAGGCCGGCCUUGGGUUUGAAACCCUUUUUUAGGGGGGAAAAAGCGAAAGGGGGGGUACCUGAAAAAAAAGCCCCGGCAAACUACGG